This 269-nucleotide ribosomal RNA is filed under the name uncultured archaeon. Its description in RNAcentral is "partial 16S ribosomal RNA". It matches the Rfam family "Archaeal small subunit ribosomal RNA", at positions 477 to 747 of the family's 1478-position model. The record is from RNAcentral.
CAGCGCCACGAGUGGCAAUCGUGUAUUUGGCCUAAAGCGUCCGUAGCCGGACUUGUAAAUCUUUUGUGAAAUCGUUGAGCUCAACUUAACGGCGUGCAGAAGACACUGCGAGUCUUGAGACCGGGAGGAGAUAGAGGUAUUCUAGGGGGAGCGGUAAAAUGCUAUAAUCCCUGGAGGACCACCAGUGGCGAAGGCGUCUAUCCAGAACGGAUCUGACGGUGAGGGACGAAAGCCAGGGGAGCGAUCCGGAUUAGAGACCCGAGUAGUCC